RNAcentral lists this ribosomal RNA (555 nucleotides) under uncultured bacterium. Its description in RNAcentral is "partial 16S ribosomal RNA". It matches the Rfam family "Bacterial small subunit ribosomal RNA", at positions 355 to 902 of the family's 1533-position model. The record is from RNAcentral.
CUAAGAAUAUUCCGCAAUGGACGGAAGUCUGACGGAGCGACGCCGCGUGGAUGACGAAGGCCGAAAGGUUGUAAAGUUCUUUUGCUGGGGAAGAAUAACCGCAGGAGGGAAUGCCUGUGGGAUGACAAGAACCGGCGAAUAAGCCCCGGCCAACUACGUGCCAGCAGCCGCGGUAACACGUAGGGGGGCGAGCGUUGUUCGGAAUUACUGGGCGUAAAGGGCAUGUAGGCGGCUUGGAAAGCCUGGCGUGAAAGUCUGCAGCUUAACUGCAGGGGUGCGCUGGGAACUGCUGAGCUUGAGUGACGGAGAGGGAGCUGGAAUUCCUGGUGUAGGGGUGAAAUCUGUAGAUAUCAGGAAGAACACCGAUGGCGAAGGCAAGCUCCUGGCCGAUGACUGACGCUGAGGUGCGAAAGUGUGGGGAUCAAACAGGAUUAGAUACCCUGGUAGUCCGCACAGUCAACGAUGUGCACUAGGUGCGUGGGGCGGGUAGCUUCGGUGCCGGAGCGAACGUGGUAAGUGCACCGCCUGGGGAGUAUGCUCGCAAGGGUGAAACUC